Molecule: long non-coding RNA, 2939 nt
Filed under: Homo sapiens (human)
Lineage: Eukaryota; Metazoa; Chordata; Mammalia; Primates; Hominidae
Description: HSALNT0080848
Source: RNAcentral
CCCCACCCCUACCGCUACGGCUGCCGCCCUCUCCGCUGCCUGCCCUUUCCAGCUCCAGAUCCGGAACUCCCCUCGGCUACACCUUUCCCCGGGCUCUUCCCUCCGCUCCUCCCCGUGGCCCCCUCCCCUCUGGCGGCCACCGCAGAGCUCCGACUGACCCGUGUGCCUCGCUCUGCCAGGCUGCCUUCCUCUCUACCUGCCCCCUUCCAGAUCCGCAGUCCCCUGCUCUCCACGCGAGCCCCCUUCACAGUCCCUGCUACCUUGUAACUAACUUGCACUUUUCCCGAGUCCGGUUCUUAGCCUUUGCCCUGCAGCUCAGCUCCUUAAAGCUUUCAGAUCCCCAAACUUUUAUUGUAAUUAUGGACAAUAACUCCGUCCUUAACGCCUGUGCCCUCCGGGAUCCCGUGGCCCGCCGCCCCCUCCGUUGGACCUGGAGUCGCUCUCGUCUGCACCUCUCCCUUAGACCCACUUCCCUGAGCCCCUUGUCGAGAGGCUUUCAGGAAGCCAACCAGGAAGUGGGACUACCGCUGCUGCUGCAGCAGCUCCACGUGGCUGAUUUAUAGCUGAAGGGUUUUUUUUUUUCCUUCUUAUUGAUUGUUCUUGCUUUUUCACACGGCUCCUUAAGGUGGUGAAUUUGUAACCGAAAGGCCCAGGUGAGAUGUGCAAAUAUCACUGGAUUGGAGGAGCUCACUUGGAAAGCCAGUAUUCCUCCUGAGCUAAUGAAAAGAAAGGCUGUCGUCUUAUGCCAAAAGCAAUACCAACCUUGUUCACGGGCUGAGAUCUAGAGUGUGUAAUUCACGAAGUAUGAAUCUGCUGGGUAAUGUGAUAUGAAAAGCGAAUGCACCAUUUCUUGGUGAUGAUUCAGGUCAGCGUUGGGACCCAGGAAUCUCCUGUUAAUCAGUACCCUGGUGAUUUUGAUCCAGGUCAUCAAGACCAUGGCUUCCAUCGUAGGCAGUCACACUCUUUCUCUCUUGGAUCAUUUGCUGUGGGGAAGCAAACUGUCAUAUGAGAGGACACUCAAACAGCCUCUGGAGUCUCAUUUGCUAAGGAACUGAGGACUCCAGCCUGAGAACUCAGGCAAGUAACUGAGGCCUGCCAACAACCAUGGAGAAAGCCUGGAAGUGGAUCCUCCCUCAGCCUUCAGUCGAGACAACAGCUGCAAUGACAGCCAAGCCAGCGCCACCCAGCUUAGCCACCCCCAGAGAACUAACUCUCAGAAACCAUGUAAGAUAAUACAUGUUUGUUGUUUUAAGCUGCUAAGUUUUGGGGUAAUUUAUUAUACAAUAGAUAAUUAAAACACAUAGCAUAUAAAUAAAAUCAAUAAAACCAGUAUGGGUCAGUAAUGAGUAAAUUAGAUAAUUAGACAAAUUUUGACAUUUCUGUUUCUAUGUUAAUUAUUUUUCUUCAGAAAAAUUCUCUACGGGUAAAAUAUGUUAAGAGUGGUUACCAACGGACAUUUUAAAAUUAAUAAUCAGUUUGGGAGGCCAAGGCGGUUGGAUUGCUUUAACUCAGGAGUUUGAGGCCAACCUGGGCAACAUGACAAAACCCUGUCUCUACAAAAAAUACAAAAAUUAGCCAGGCAUGGUCGUGUGUGCCUGUAGUCCCAGCUACUUGGGAAGCUGAGGUGGGAGGAUCAAUUGAGCCUGGGAGGCCAGGCUGCAGUGAGUCAAAAUCAUACCAUCUCAAUCCAGCCUGAGCAACAGAGUGAGACCCUAUCUAAAAUAUAUACAUGUAUAUUAACAAUUAUCUCUUGAAACUAAAGUAUAAUCACAGUACUAGUGUACUAUUUUCCAUUUUAUUAAAUGCACUAAACAGUAUUGCAAUGUGUUUGUGUUUAUUAAAAAAUAUUUUGGAAAUCUUUGGGAGAAAAGCUACUUCAAAUUAGUCUGAAAACUAUCAUUUCCUUCUAGCAAUGUGUAAUAAUGUAAUGACUGCUUAGAAUUUCCUGAGAGGGACUGUAACAUAUAUUUUAAGCAUAAUAUUGUAAACAAACAAGUUCUUUUGCAGUACUUGAAGAUCUUUUUUUGUGACUAUCCCCCUUAUAUAUUAUGAAGAUACAUUUUUUGUGACUAUCCUCUUUAUAUGUAUUGUGAAGAUAAGGUUUUUUAUAGUGAAUAUCCUCCUAAUGCUACUAGUAUUGUUUGCAAUCUGUCAUUAUUCUUAGUGUAAAAUUAAACUUCAACAGAGUACCUGUGUGAACUCUUAACAAUUUUUGAAUUAGUGAAGCCCCAAAUUAAUGAUGCUUUACUAGAUAUAAGGGAACUGGAAAGGCUGAAAUCUCAAGGUAGAGUCAAGGCAGUAAUUCCUAGCAGCCUGUGUUUCUCGGUGUUCUUCAUGCUUCACAGAGGUUGGAAUUCAGCUUCUGGUUUAAGUUGUCUUAAUCUUGACCACAGUGGUAAUUUUACUUUCCCACUCUUUUUUCCUCAACUAGAAUGACUCGGAGAGUUGAGCUAACAGAGGUAGAAUAUUGAUUCGUGAGAUAGGUUCUUAGAGAUAUAAGUGUGCGCAUGGAAGAAGGAGGAAUGGCGUGGAAGAGCAGGUGGAGACGGCCACAGCAGGGCUUAGAAAUUCCCUCUAUCCAAAGCCUGGUUGUGAGGAAUUUGAUAGAAAGGAUUGUGUGGGCUAAGACAUCAGUUUUUAUGGUAAUAUUUGAGGGAGAAAAUUGAGAUCUUGGAAUGCAUUUGAAAAAAAGAUUAGUUUUAAUACAAUUAUCACUUUACCUGAGACCACAUCUCAAAAUCAAAAUCAGUGAUAAUGUCUUUGCAUUAAUGUUGGAAAGACUUAUGCUACUUCUGCAUAAUUUUCUGGUAAAUUAUGUAAUGAGUGGUCAGUAUAAUAGCAUGGUUAUUGUGAAGGGUAAGAUAGUAUGUCAUUUUUUUCCCUCUUAACAUGUAAAGGCUAUUUUCCAUAUUAUACAUACAUUAAUAUUUAUAUGUGAA